GGAGAGGUGGCCGAGUGGUCGAAGGCGCGCCCCUGCUAAGGGCGUAGGCCUCAAAAGGGCCUCGUGGGUUCGAAUCCAUCCUCUCCGCCA
RNAcentral lists this transfer RNA (90 nucleotides) under Mesorhizobium sp. 8. RNAcentral's name for it is "tRNA-Ser". It matches the Rfam family "tRNA". From Rfam's summary of the family: Transfer RNA (tRNA) molecules are approximately 80 nucleotides in length. The record is from RNAcentral. Lineage: Bacteria; Pseudomonadati; Pseudomonadota; Alphaproteobacteria; Hyphomicrobiales; Phyllobacteriaceae.